RNAcentral lists this unclassified non-coding RNA (138 nucleotides) under uncultured fungus. RNAcentral describes it as "sequence contains ITS1, 5.8S rRNA gene". The record is from RNAcentral. Lineage: Eukaryota; Fungi.
CUGAUUUGCUUAAUUGCACCACAUGUGUUUUUCUUUGAAACAAACUUGCUUUGGCGGUGGGCCCAGCCUGCCGCCAGAGGUCUAAACUUACAACCAAUUUUUUAUCAACUUUUCACACCAGAUUAUUACUAAUAGUCA